AUUGAUGGCUGGAAUGAAUGAAUAUACGAGAGCUCAACUGUCUCAUUUUUACAAAUAUAAAUUGACCCUCAAGUGAAGAGACUUGAAUCUUUAAAAAAGACGAAAAGACCCUAUAGAGCUUUACCUAAAGUUUAUAUUAUAUAAACUAAAGGUUUAGUUGGGGCAACUAGAGAGCACCUAAAACCUCUCUUUAAACCUACUAAUAAUGAUCCGUUUUUACGAUAAGUAGAAAAAGCUACCUUAGGGAUAACAGGCUAAUCCUCUUUAAGAGACCAUAUUGACAAGAGGGA
Molecule: ribosomal RNA, 290 nt
Filed under: Polydora sp. m VVM-2022
Lineage: Eukaryota; Metazoa; Annelida; Polychaeta; Spionida; Spionidae
Description: partial large subunit ribosomal RNA
Rfam family: Bacterial large subunit ribosomal RNA
Source: RNAcentral